Molecule: ribosomal RNA, 440 nt
Filed under: uncultured bacterium
Lineage: Bacteria
Description: partial 16S ribosomal RNA
Rfam family: Bacterial small subunit ribosomal RNA
Source: RNAcentral
CCUACGGGUGGCAACAGUGGGGAAUAUUGCACAAUGGGGGAAACCCUGAUGCAGUGACGCCGCGUGAGUGAAGAAGUAUUUCGGUAUGUAAAGCUCUAUCAGCAGGGAAGAAAAUGACGGUACCUGAUUAAGAACCCCCGGCUAAAUACGUGCCAGCAGCCGCGGUAAUACGUAGGGGGCAAGCGUUAUCCGGAUUUACGGGGUGUAAAGGGAGCGGAGACGGCAGCACAAGUCUGGAGUGAAAUGCCGGGGCUUAACCCCGGAAAUGCUUUGGAAACUGGGGAGCUAGAGUGCAGGAGAGGUAAGUGGAAUUCCCAGUGUAGCGGUGAAAUGCGUAGAUAUUAGGAGGAACAUCAGUGGCGAAGGCGGCUUACUGGACUGUAACUGACGUUGAGGCUCGAAAGCGUGGGGAGCAAACAGGAUUAGAUACCCUUGUAGUC